GCAAGUUUUUCACCUUGGUUAUU
This 23-nucleotide microRNA is filed under the name Parasteatoda tepidariorum (common house spider). Its description in RNAcentral is "pte-miR-35a-5p". Its record names the gene pte-miR-35a-5p. The record is from miRBase by way of RNAcentral. Lineage: Eukaryota; Metazoa; Arthropoda; Arachnida; Araneae; Theridiidae.